This 497-nucleotide ribosomal RNA is filed under the name uncultured bacterium. Its description in RNAcentral is "partial 16S ribosomal RNA". It matches the Rfam family "Bacterial small subunit ribosomal RNA", at positions 28 to 507 of the family's 1533-position model. The record is from RNAcentral.
GACGAACGCUGGCGGCGUGCCUAAUACAUGCAAGUAGAACGCUGAAGAGAGGAGCUUGCUCUUCUUGGAUGAGUUGCGAACGGGUGAGUAACGCGUAGGUAACCUGCCUUGUAGCGGGGGAUAACUAUUGGAAACGAUAGCUAAUACCGCAUAACAAUGGAUGACACAUGUCAUUUAUUUGAAAGGGGCAAUUGCUCCACUACAAGAUGGACCUGCGUUGUAUUAGCUAGUAGGUGAGGUAAUGGCUCACCUAGGCGACGAUACAUAGCCGACCUGAGAGGGUGAGCGGCCACACUGGGACUGGGACCGGGCCCAGACUCCCACGGGAGGCAGCAGGAGGGAAUCUUCGGCAAUGGGGGCAACCCUGACCGAGCAACGCCGCGUGAGUGAAGAAGGUUUUCGGGUCGUAAAGCUCUGUUGUAAGUCAAGAACGGGUGUGAGAGUGGAAAGUUCACACUGUGACGGUAGCUUACCAGAAAGGGACGGCUAACUACGUG